AAGUCGUAACAAGGUUUCCGUAGGUGAACCUGCGGAAGGAUCAUUACCUAUCAUCCAGUGUGGUCGCGGCCUCCGGGUUCUUCCCGGGCGGUAGAGGUAACACUCUCACGCGCCACGCGUUUGAAUCCUUUUUUUUACGAGCACCUUUCGUUCUCCUUCGGUGGGGCAACCUGCCGUUGGAAUCAUAAAAACCUUUUUUUGCAUCUAGCAUUACCUGUUCCGAUAACAAACAAUCGUUACAACUUUCAACAAUGGAUCUCUUGGCUCUG
This 269-nucleotide unclassified non-coding RNA is filed under the name Paraconiothyrium sp. Its description in RNAcentral is "partial internal transcribed spacer region". The stretch from base 1 to 46 matches the Rfam family "Eukaryotic small subunit ribosomal RNA", at positions 1786 to 1831 of the family's 1831-position model. Lineage: Eukaryota; Fungi; Ascomycota; Dothideomycetes; Pleosporales; Didymosphaeriaceae. The record is from RNAcentral.